This 253-nucleotide ribosomal RNA is filed under the name uncultured bacterium. RNAcentral's name for it is "partial 16S ribosomal RNA". It matches the Rfam family "Bacterial small subunit ribosomal RNA", at positions 524 to 776 of the family's 1533-position model. The record is from RNAcentral.
UACGGAGGGUGCGAGCGUUGUCCGGAAUCACUGGGCGUAAAGGGCGCGUAGGCGGCGCGGGGAGUCAACGGUGAAAGCUCGGCGCUCAACGCCGAGUCGGCCGUCGAUACUCCCGUGCUUGAGCACUGUAGAGGCAGGUGGAAUUCCGGGUGUAGCGGUGGAAUGCGUAGAGAUCAGGCAGAACACCUGGGGCGAAGGCGGCCAGCUGGGCCGUCCCUGACGCUGAGGCGCGAAGGCGUGGGGAGCGAACGGG